RNAcentral lists this non-coding RNA (86 nucleotides) under Aeromonas diversa. RNAcentral describes it as "c-di-GMP sequence". It matches the Rfam family "c-di-GMP-I riboswitch aptamer". Rfam says of the family: GEMM was predicted in a large-scale screen for bacterial structured RNA regulatory elements. The record is from RNAcentral. Lineage: Bacteria; Pseudomonadati; Pseudomonadota; Gammaproteobacteria; Aeromonadales; Aeromonadaceae.
CCGGUCACUUGGCAAACUGACUCUCAUGGUCAGGACGCAGAGCCUCCGGUCUAACGGCGUAAGCCCAGGAUAGCGGGGCUGCCAUC